GAUGAACGCUGGUGGCACGCUUAACACAUGCAAGUCGAACGAGUGUGAUAAGUUGCUUGCAACGAAUCACACUAGUGGCGAACGGGUGAGUAACAGGUGAGUAACCUACCUAUUACAACGGAAUAACAACGAGAAAUUGUUGCUAAUGCCGUAUAAUAUUGCUUUAUUGUAGGGUAAGGCGAGGAAAGCUGAGGCGGUAAUAGAGGGGCUCGCUUCGGAUUAGCUAGUUGGUGAGGUAAGAGCUUACCAAGGCGACGAUCCGUAAUCGGUCUGAGAGGACGACCGGUCACAUUGGGACUGAGACACGGCCCAAACUCCUACGGGAGGCAGCAGUGGGGAAUAUUGCACAAUGAGCGAAAGCUUGAUGCAGCGAUGCCGCGUGAGUGAGGAAGGUUUUAGGAUUGUAAAGCUCUAUCGAUGGGGAAGAAGAAUGACGGUACCCAAGUAAGAAGCCCCGGCUAACUACGUGCCAGCAGCCGCGGUAAAACGUAGGGGGCGAGCGUUAUCCGGAAUGACUGGGUGUAAAGGGUGUGUAGGCGGUCAAUCAGGUCAUAUGUGAAAGGCUAGUGCUUAACAUUAGUAUGGCAUAAGAAACCGGUUGACUUGAGUACAGGAGAGGUAAGCGGAAUUCCUAGUGUAGCGGUGAAAUGCGUAGAUAUUAGGAAGAACACCAGUGGCGAAGGCGGCUUACUGGACUGUAACUGACGCUGAGGCACGAAAGCGUGGGGAGCGAACAGGAUUAGAUACCCUGGUAGUCCACGCUGUAAACGAUGAGUGCUAGGUGUUGGCGAGGAAUCGUCAGUGCCGCAGUAAACACAAUAAGCACUCCACCUGAGUAGUACGAUCGCAAGGUUGAAACUCAAAGGAAUUGACGG
Molecule: ribosomal RNA, 875 nt
Filed under: uncultured Bacillota bacterium
Lineage: Bacteria; Bacillati; Bacillota
Description: bacterial SSU rRNA
Rfam family: Bacterial small subunit ribosomal RNA
Source: RNAcentral